RNAcentral lists this RNase P RNA (341 nucleotides) under Waddlia chondrophila WSU 86-1044. RNAcentral describes it as "Bacterial RNase P class A". It matches the Rfam family "Bacterial RNase P class A". Rfam says of the family: Ribonuclease P (RNase P) is a ubiquitous endoribonuclease, found in archaea, bacteria and eukarya as well as chloroplasts and mitochondria. Its best characterised activity is the generation of mature 5'-ends of tRNAs by cleaving the 5'-leader elements of precursor-tRNAs. The record is from Rfam by way of RNAcentral. Lineage: Bacteria; Pseudomonadati; Chlamydiota; Chlamydiia; Parachlamydiales; Waddliaceae.
ACGGGAAGAGAGGCAAUCGCCGUCGCUAUCAAAGCGAGGGAGGAAAGUCUGGACUUCGCAGGAUCGGAUACCAGUGAAAGACUGGGGGCCGAAAGGCUACGGAAAGUGUCACAGAAAAUAUUCCGCGGCGUAAGCCGACAGGGUGAAAUGCUUUGUUUGAUGAACAAAGCCCCACUAGAGGAGACUCUAGGGGUGAUAAACCCUAUCCGAAGCAAGACAAAGGUAAAGCGCUUAAGGUGUUCCGCCAAGCUUUCAACAAGUCGCUUGAGAACUUUGGUGACAGGGUUCCUAGAUGAAUGAUUGUCCAAUGACAGAAUCCGGCUUAUCCUCUUCCCUUUUUU